GUUGGCCGGAGGGAGCCGAAUCUCUUCCGGAAGUAGCCGAUCUCUGGGGUCUCGCUCUCCGACCUGAGUCGAGGGCCGGGCCUUGUUCUCCGGAUCGGCCGAAGGUGUUCCGGAAGGAGGCGAACCCCGAGGCGGGCAGGGCAAGCCUUCCCCGCGGCCGGCAGAGCCCAACAUCUGGUGGGGCUCGGCGAGCGGGGAGGGGGGAGCCGGAGCCUGGCUCCGGUCCGGCGGGAGCCGAGCUCGUUCCGGAAGAGGCCGAGCGGACCGGCGCUGGCCUCGGCGUCCCGGGCUUGAGGUGGUAGCGGCGGCGGCGACAGCGCGGGCCGGGAUGAACCGCGACGGCUGAGGCGGCGGAGGUGCCGGCUGCGCGGCCCCGACCGAGACUUCCGCGAAGCGCCAGCCCCGCGCUUGGGGCUUCGCUUCGAGCCGAGCCCUGCCCCCGCGAGCCUCCCGGACCCCUUUGUGCGUCCAGAGGCGGCGGCGGGAACGGCCAUGGCGGCCAACAUGUACCGGGUGGGGGAUUAUGUCUAUUUUGAAAAUUCUUCUAGCAAUCCUUACCUGGUUAGACGGAUUGAGGAGCUCAACAAGACUGCAAAUGGAAACGUGGAGGCAAAGGUUGUGUGCCUUUUCCGGCGAAGGGACAUUUCUAGUAGCCUCAACAGCCUGGCUGAUAGCAAUGCCA
Molecule: non-coding RNA, 682 nt
Organism: Leptonychotes weddellii (Weddell seal)
Lineage: Eukaryota; Metazoa; Chordata; Mammalia; Carnivora; Phocidae
Source: RefSeq, a predicted model, not a curated record